CCCUAUGGACAGGAAUACUCUCGGGAAACUGAGGUUAAUUCCUGAUACAGCUUCCAUGUUGGAACUGCAGGAAGCUGGAAACGUUCCGACGCCAUAGGAUGUGGCUGCGGCCGAUUAGGUAGACGGUGGGGUAACGGCCCACCGUGCCAGUAAUCGGUACGGGUCGUGAGAGCGAGAGCCCGGAGACGGUAUCUGAGACAAGAUGCCGGGCCCUACGGGGCGCAGCAGGCGCGAAACCUUUACACUGCACGACAGUGCGAUAGGGGGACUCCAAGUGCGAGGGCAUAUAGUCCUCGCUUUUGUACACCGUAAGGUGGUGUACGAAUAAGAACUGGGCAAGACCGGUGCCAGCCGCCGCGGUAAUACCGGCAGUUCGAGUGAUGGCCGAUCUUAUUGGGCCUAAAGCGUUCGUAGCUGGCCAGUCAAGUCUGUCGGGAAAUCUGCUCGCUCAACGAGCAGCCGUCCGGCGGAAACCGAUUGGCUUGGGACCGGAAGACCCGAGAAGUACGUCCGGGGUAGGAGUGAAAUCCCGUAAUCCUGGACGGACUACCGAUGGCGAAAGCAUCUCGGGAACACGGAUCCGACAGUGAGGAACGAAAGCUGGGGUCUCGAACCGGAUUAGAUACCCGGGUAGUCCCAGCCGUAAACGAUGUCUGCUAGGUAUGGCACAGGCUACGAGCCUGUGCUAUGCCACAGCGAAGGCGCUAAGCAGACCGCCUGGGAAGUACGUUCGCAAGAAUGAAAC
Molecule: ribosomal RNA, 745 nt
Filed under: uncultured archaeon
Lineage: Archaea
Description: bacterial SSU rRNA
Rfam family: Archaeal small subunit ribosomal RNA
Source: RNAcentral